This 378-nucleotide long non-coding RNA is filed under the name Nicotiana benthamiana. RNAcentral's name for it is "long non-coding RNA (NBEN_LNC040588)". Lineage: Eukaryota; Viridiplantae; Streptophyta; Magnoliopsida; Solanales; Solanaceae. The record is from RNAcentral.
UGAGAUAUAUGAUAAAAUAUUUGCUUCUAAGAUUGAUAAGGCAGUUUGACACCACAACACCUCUAAGAUGCUAACAUACAAGUGUUCUUUUUUUUGUAACUAAGACAUAUAUUAAAAACACAUAUCAAGAGUCAUUACAAGGUACAUUACAAACUGAAACUGUUAUAGGAUACGCAGUUCCUUAGCAUGUCCCUUUCCAAAAUAUUAGCAACAAAAGUAGGAGGAAUAAGUUAAGUUGUUAAGCUUCCAAAAGUUGUUGAUAUUCCUCCAUUCUUCGCCAUUGAAUCAGCCACCUGGUUCGCCUCCCUGUGGACGUGCUGUAGUGGCAGGUCACCUGCUCUACUCAGUAGGUAUCUGCACUCAUCAAUCAGAUUAAAG